Molecule: ribosomal RNA, 663 nt
Filed under: uncultured Candidatus Saccharibacteria bacterium
Lineage: Bacteria; Candidatus Saccharimonadota
Description: bacterial SSU rRNA
Rfam family: Bacterial small subunit ribosomal RNA
Source: RNAcentral
GUAGGCGGUUUAAUAAGUGAAUAGUGAAACCUGGUGGCUCAACCAUACAGACUAUUAUUCAAACUGUUAAACUCGAGAAUGGUAGAGGUAACUGGAAUUUCUUGUGUAGGAGUGAAAUCCGUAGAUAUAAGAAGGAACACCGAUGGCGUAGGCAGGUUACNUGGGCCAUUUCUGACGCUAAGGCACGAAAGCGUGGGGAGCGAACCGGAUUAGAUACCCGGGUAGUCCACGCCGUAAACGAUGGAUACUAGCUGUUGGAGGUAUCGACCCCUUCAGUAGCGAAGCUAACGCGUUAAGUAUCCCGCCUGUGGAGUACGGCCGCAAGGCUAAAACAUAAAGGAAUUGACGGGGACCCGCACAAGCGGUGGAUUAUGUUCUUUAAUUCGAUGAUAACCGAAGAACCUUACCAGGGCUUGACAUCCAGGGAAGGUCUGCGAAAGUAGACUGUGCCUUUUGGAACCCUGUGACAGGUGAUGCAUGGCCGUCGUCAGCUCGUGUCGUGAGAUGUUAGGUUAAGUCCUUCAGCGAGCGCAACCCUUGCAAGUAGUUGUAUUUUUCUACUUGGACUGCCCCGGUAACGGGGAGGAANGAGGGGGAUGAUGUCNGGUCAGUAUUUCCCUUACGUCCUGGGCUANAAAACGUAAUACAAUGGCUAGUACAAUG